This 269-nucleotide long non-coding RNA is filed under the name Vigna radiata. RNAcentral's name for it is "long non-coding RNA (VRAD_LNC001085)". Lineage: Eukaryota; Viridiplantae; Streptophyta; Magnoliopsida; Fabales; Fabaceae. The record is from RNAcentral.
GAAAAUACCAGACAAUUAAGCACAAUUCCCUGAUUAAUUCUAGCACAAUAAACUAAGUGAAAUCAAUAAAAUAUCGACUCAUCAAAAUAGACCACACUUAGUCUUUUGCACUCCUGGGCAAAAUCAAGACGCAAAUCAAGGAACAGUUCAACAAACAUCAGGGAAUGACACGGACUCAACAGAUAGAAAAGAAAGACUCACAAUGAAAGAAACAGAAUUACACAGUUCUCAAGAAAUCUGGACAGUGAAAGAAGUAGACAAAAUCCCAC